RNAcentral lists this ribosomal RNA (484 nucleotides) under uncultured bacterium. RNAcentral describes it as "partial 16S ribosomal RNA". It matches the Rfam family "Bacterial small subunit ribosomal RNA", at positions 30 to 507 of the family's 1533-position model. The record is from RNAcentral.
AUUGAACGCUAGCGGGAUGCUCUACACAUGCAAGUCGAACGGCAGCGCGGACUUCGGUCUGGCGGCGAGUGGCGAACGGGUGAGUAAUGUAUCGGAACGUGCCCAGUAGCGGGGGAUAACUACGCGAAAGCGUAGCUAAUACCGCAUACGCCCUACGGGGGAAAGCCGGGGAUCGUAAGACCUUGCACUAUUGGAGCGGCCGAUAUCGGAUUAGCUAGUUGGUGAGGUAACGGCUCACCAAGGCGACGAUCCGUAGCUGGUUUGAGAGGACGACCAGCCACACUGGGACUGAGACACGGCCCAGACUCCUACGGGAGGCAGCAGUGGGGAAUUUUGGACAAUGGGGGCAACCCUGAUCCAGCCAUCCCGCGUGUGCGAUGAAGGCCUUCGGGUUGUAAAGCACUUUUGGCAGGAAAGAAACGUCGCGGGCUAAUACCCCGUGGAACUGACGGUACCUGCAGAAUAAGCACCGGCUAACUACGUG